UAGGGAAUAUUGCAAAAUGGGCGAAAGCCCGAUGCAGCAACGCCGCGUGGGCGAUGAAGGCCUUCGGGUCGUAAAGCCCUUUUUGAGGGGAUGGGGAAGGACAGUACCCUCAGAAUAAGCCUCGGCUAACUACGUGCCAGCAGCCGCGGUAAAACGUAGGAGGCGAGCGUUAUCCGGAUUGACUGGGCGUAAAGCGCGUGCAGGCGGAUUGGAGAGUUGGAUGGGAAAGCUCCCGGCUUAACUGGGAGAGGUCGUUCAAUACUUCCAGUCUUGAGUGCAGUAGAGGGAAGUGGAAUUCCGGGUGUAGUGGUGAAAUGCGUAGAUAUCCGGAGGAACACCAGUGGCGAAAGCGGCUUCCUGGACUGUAACUGACGCUCAGACGCGAAAGCUAGGGUAGCAAACG
This 403-nucleotide ribosomal RNA is filed under the name uncultured bacterium. Its description in RNAcentral is "bacterial SSU rRNA". It matches the Rfam family "Bacterial small subunit ribosomal RNA", at positions 355 to 774 of the family's 1533-position model. The record is from RNAcentral.